Rhipicephalus microplus (southern cattle tick) is the source of this 147-nucleotide long non-coding RNA. NCBI's taxonomy places the organism in Eukaryota, Metazoa, Arthropoda, Arachnida, Ixodida, Ixodidae. The record is from RefSeq and is a predicted model, not a curated record.
ACCACCCCCUCCACGAAGACCACCACCAGUGGCGAGACCGCCCCCUCCAGGUGCGCCUUAUCAGCCACCAGCACCAUCGCCUAGGCCACCACUGCCCUCAGCACGACCACCACCCUCGUUUCCUCCUCCUCCUCCUCCCGUGGCUAG